GUGUUUUUAGCGAGAGUGCCACACCGGUUCCCAUUCCGAACACCGCAGUUAAGACUCUCUGCGUCGAUGAUACU
RNAcentral lists this ribosomal RNA (74 nucleotides) under Candidatus Saccharimonadota bacterium. Lineage: Bacteria; Candidatus Saccharimonadota. The record is from RNAcentral.